CAACUCUCUGCCCUUAGCUGAGGCACUAGACCUCAUUGAUGUCAUUUAUGUUUCAGUGGUGUUGGAUUUGAUUGGGUGGAAUUGUGUACUUGGAAAUUUCCUCAUAUUUGAAAAAUGCUGUAUGUAAAAAUAUCACUGGUCUAAAACUAAACUUUUAUGGUACAACUGACAAGUUGACACCACUUUCAAUCCCUUUCUGGAGCAUCUCAAUCGCACAUAUGGGAGAGUAUAACGUGACUGUUUAUGUACUUCAGAAAGAUUGAACUAACCAUCCUUUUUCAAUGGAAACAGGAAGUUGGUCUACCAAAACCCCCUAUACUCUCCUUCACCCCAAGUUGCUCGUAACACAUUCAGACAAUGAGACGUCAGAAACAUCUACGUCGAAGGCUCUUCUGAGAAAGGUGACAAAUAGGAGGCCUGUGAUUGGCUGGAGUUGUUUUUACAUGUGGUUGCGUUUAUGUCCAAGGUAUUGUGAUAAUGUAGACAGGCAUUUUCCACUGAGGUGGACCAAUCAGAUCUCGACACAAACAUCCGCUUCAAAGGCCCUCACCAUCGUCAGCUCCCCCAGCGCCAGUCUCUGAGAUGGAGAGAUCAAGAGCUAUUCUCAUCGCUCUCGUCUGUAAGUAAACUUACAUCUGACCAGAUUCAUCCUAUAGUGCAUCUCAUUUUCAACCGAUUUUCUUUUAUAUAUUAAGAAACGUAAUGACUUUCUGUGUAAAGUUAUGUGAGCUCAUUGUUCUUUCACUGGUGUGUUGUAGGUGCUUUGUUCUCCAGGAUCUCUGGAGCAGAAGUGGAGAUGAGGGUCAGACCAGGAGACGACGUGACUCUCUACAGCGACUGUAUUUGGAAGAGUGGAUUUAGUAUAGUUUGGUUUAGAAACUCCUCAUGUGAGCAUCAACCUCCUCUCAUGAUAUCAACUCCAGAUUUGAUACGUGGUGCUGAUCCACGUUACUCUGCUGUGUGGAAUCCCUCCAACAAAACUCAUGAUCUGCUGGUGAAGAACGUCUCUGAUUCAGAUGUGGGUCUCUACUUCUGCGCUAUGUAUGAGAAAAACAUCACCAAAGACGAAAAGGGAGUUUUACACCCUGUAGAUAUUUAUCACUACGGGAAAAGAACCACUCGACUCUCUCUCCUUGGUCCUUGUGCUGAUCUCCCCCAGACCCCCUCCACCCCUCCUGUCUCAGACUGUAGCGUCUGCUGGAAGCUGCUGGUCAGUGUGUGUCCUGUGUGUGUUCUCCUCUCCUCCACCUGUGUGUGCUGCAUCUACAGACACGCAAAGAAAGCAGAAGCUGGUCAGGAACGGAGGAACAAAGCGCAGAGACGGCGAAGCAGAACAACCGAUGAGGUUGGAGGAGAUGAGGUUUGUUACGCUUCAUUGGACAUCCCAAGCGGGGGAGAGAAACGGCUGAAGAAGAGAGUUGAGGGUUUGGAUUUCAGUACAUAUUCUGAGGUUAAAACUGACGGAAUGUGAAGAUAUUGGACUUUUAAUAAUUCAUAGAAGAAACGUAAAUGUUCCUUACGUUAUAGAGAGAAUCGUCUGCAUAUACUGACCUUGAACGUUGUUGAUGGAACAAAACUGCAACAUUGUGUUAUUUCGCUUUUUAUGGUCCACUGCCUUUUGCGAUUAGAAUGUGCUUAUAUUCAUGUAAAUAAAUAAAUAAAUAAAUAAAUAAAAA
Molecule: long non-coding RNA, 1676 nt
Organism: Pygocentrus nattereri (red-bellied piranha)
Lineage: Eukaryota; Metazoa; Chordata; Actinopteri; Characiformes; Serrasalmidae
Source: Ensembl